CUUCAAUUGCGUUUCAGAUAUUCACAAAGUCUAUCCACCUUUGUAAUUAACACAUUAUGUGUUAUGUGUUUCUUAUACCAUUAUAGUAUCUGUAUUAUAUUACACAUUGUCACUGACACAUUUCUGAUACAGGGAAAAAAAAUAGCAUGAUUGCUUUAGUAAUUAUAAUUUUCGGUCCAUGCACCACAUUCCUGGAAGUCCAGAAUAUAGCAAGAAUUCUUUGUUGUUUGAUUCAAUGGAGCCAUUUCACGUUUUGAUUGGUAUAGUUAUACCAAAAGAGCAAGGAGUACGACGGUAGAUCACAUCUGCAACAGAACCAUUACAGAUUCCUUGUUGUAUCAAUGUCGCUGUGUUUAUGUUUACAGGAG
Molecule: non-coding RNA, 368 nt
Organism: Pelobates cultripes (western spadefoot toad)
Lineage: Eukaryota; Metazoa; Chordata; Amphibia; Anura; Pelobatidae
Source: the annotation of a GenBank genome assembly